UGAGGAAUAUUGAGCAAUGGGCGCAAGCCUGACUCAGCAACGCCGCGUGGAUGAUGACGGCCUUCGGGUUGUAAAAUCCUUUUCUGGGGGAAGAUAAUGACGGUACCCCAGGAAUAAGUUCCGGCUAACUACGUGCCAGCAGCCGCGGUAAAACGUAGGGGACAAGCGUUAUCCGGAUUUACUGGGCGUAAAGCGCAUGUAGGUGGCUUGACAAGUUGGACGUGAAAGCUCCCGGCUUAACUGGGAGAGGUCGUUCAAAACUGGCAAGCUUGAGGUUGGAAGAGGAGAGCAGAAUUCCCGGUGUAGUGGUGGAAUGCGUAGAUAUCGGGAGGAAUACCAGUGGCGAAAGCGGCUCUCUGGUUCAAUACUGACACUGAGAUGCGAAAGCGUGGGGAGCGAACGGG
This 404-nucleotide ribosomal RNA is filed under the name uncultured Anaerolineae bacterium. RNAcentral describes it as "bacterial SSU rRNA". It matches the Rfam family "Bacterial small subunit ribosomal RNA", at positions 355 to 776 of the family's 1533-position model. Lineage: Bacteria; Bacillati; Chloroflexota; Anaerolineae. The record is from RNAcentral.